RNAcentral lists this ribosomal RNA (167 nucleotides) under Nitratireductor aquibiodomus RA22. RNAcentral's name for it is "partial 16S ribosomal RNA". It matches the Rfam family "Bacterial small subunit ribosomal RNA", at positions 1374 to 1533 of the family's 1533-position model. The record is from RNAcentral. Lineage: Bacteria; Pseudomonadati; Pseudomonadota; Alphaproteobacteria; Hyphomicrobiales; Phyllobacteriaceae.
CCGGGCCUUGUACACACCGCCCGUCACACCAUGGGAGUUGGGUUUACCCGAAGGCAGUGCGCUAACCGCAAGGAGGCAGCUGACCACGGUAGGCUCAGCGACUGGGGUGAAGUCGUAACAAGGUAGCCCUAGGGGAACCUGGGGCUGGAUCACCUCCUUUCUAAGGA